GAUGAACGCUGGCGGCGUGCCUAAUACAUGCAAGUCGAACGCUUCACUUCGGUGAAGAGUGGCGUACGGGUGAGUAAUACCUAAGUAACCUGGCAUCUACAGGGGGAUAACUGAUGGAAACGACAGCUAAGACCGCAUAGGUGUAGAGAUCGCAUGAACUCUAUAUGAAAAGUGCUACGGGACUGGUAGAUGUUGUACUUCUGGCGCAUUAGCUUGUUGGUAGGGUAACGGCCUACCAAGGCGACGAUGCGUAGCCGACCUGAGAGGGUGACCGGCCACACUGGGACUGAGACACGGCCCAGACUCCUACGGGAGGCAGCAGUAGGGAAUUUUCGGCAAUGGGGGAAACCCUGACCGAGCAACGCCGCGUGAAGGAAGAAGUAAUUCGUUAUGUAAACUUCUGUCAUAGAGGAAGAACGGUGGAUAUAGGGAAUGAUAUCCAAGUGACGGUACUCUAUAAGAAAGCCACGGCUAACUACGUG
Molecule: ribosomal RNA, 482 nt
Filed under: uncultured bacterium
Lineage: Bacteria
Description: partial 16S ribosomal RNA
Rfam family: Bacterial small subunit ribosomal RNA
Source: RNAcentral